Molecule: ribosomal RNA, 500 nt
Filed under: uncultured organism
Description: bacterial SSU rRNA
Rfam family: Bacterial small subunit ribosomal RNA
Source: RNAcentral
AGCGAACGUUAGCGGCGGGCCUAACACAUGCAAGUCGAACGCGAAAGGUCUUCGGACUGAUUGAGUGGCGCACGGGUGAGUAACACGUAGGUAAUCUACCCUUUGGCGGGGGAUAACGUUCCGAAAGGGACGCUAAUACCGCAUAAGACCACGCGGUCUCCGGACUGUGUGGGAAAAGGUGGCCUCUUCUUGAAAGCUACCACCGGAGGAUGAGCCUGCGUCCCAUCAGCUAGUUGGUAAGGUAAUGGCUUACCAAGGCGAAGACGGGUAGCUGGUUUGAGAGAAUGAUCAGCCACACUGGCACUGGAACACGGGCCAGACUCCUACGGGAGGCAGCAGUGAGGAAUAUUGGGCAAUGGGCGAAAGCCUGACCCAGCCACGCCGCGUGAGUGAUGAAGGCCUUCGGGUCGUAAAGCUCUGUGGAGAGGGACGAAAACCCUGGUUUCAAAUAGGCUCCAGGCUUGACGGUACCUCUUUAGCAAGCACCGGCUAACUCUGUG